RNAcentral lists this non-coding RNA (23 nucleotides) under Cricetulus griseus (Chinese hamster). Lineage: Eukaryota; Metazoa; Chordata; Mammalia; Rodentia; Cricetidae. The record is from RNAcentral.
AAUGGGAAUGAUGAAGAAGAUCU